GAUCAUGGCUCAGGACGAACGCUGGCGGCGUGCUUAACACAUGCAAGUCGAGCGGAAAGGCCCUUCGGGUACUCGAGCGGCGAACGGGUGAGUAACACGUGAGCAACCUGCCCCAGGCUUUGGGAUAACCCGUCGGAAACGGGGGCGUAAUACCGAAUAUUACCACCGGGCGCAUGUUUGGUGGUUGGAAAGUUUUUCGGCUUGGGAUGGGCUCGCGGCCUAUCAGCUUGUUUGGUGGGGUUGGAUGGCCUACCAAGGCGACGACGGGUA
RNAcentral lists this ribosomal RNA (270 nucleotides) under uncultured bacterium. RNAcentral describes it as "partial 16S ribosomal RNA". It matches the Rfam family "Bacterial small subunit ribosomal RNA", at positions 15 to 285 of the family's 1533-position model. The record is from RNAcentral.